This is a non-coding RNA of Schistosoma mansoni, 45 nucleotides long. The record is from Rfam. Lineage: Eukaryota; Metazoa; Platyhelminthes; Trematoda; Strigeidida; Schistosomatidae.
AUCCAUCUGACGAGUCCCAAAUAGUAUAAAACGCGCGUUCUGGAU